GCAACUCUGGAGAGUCUCAGAAAUGAGCGCCGAAGGUGUACGGCGGGGCGGCGCCCCGUUAAUCUCUCAGGCAAAAGGACAGAGCAG
Molecule: non-coding RNA, 87 nt
Filed under: uncultured Butyricicoccus sp.
Lineage: Bacteria; Bacillati; Bacillota; Clostridia; Eubacteriales; Butyricicoccaceae
Description: Glycine riboswitch
Rfam family: Glycine riboswitch aptamer
About the family: This family represents the bacterial glycine riboswitch. Glycine riboswitches usually consist of two metabolite-binding aptamers domains with similar structures in tandem.
Source: RNAcentral